UACGUAGGGCGCAAGCGUUGUCCGGAUUCAUUGGGCGUAAAGAGCUCGUAGGCGGUUUGGUAAGUCGGGUGUGAAAACUCAGGGCUCAACCCUGAGAUGCCACCCGAUACUGCUAUGACUAGAGUCCGGUAGAGGAGCAUGGAAUUCCUGGUGUAGCGGUGAAAUGCUUAGAGAUUACAUGGAAUACCAAUUGCGAAGGCAGGUUACUGGGAAUAUAUUGACGCUGAUGGACGAAAGCGUGGGUAGCGAACAGG
This 254-nucleotide ribosomal RNA is filed under the name uncultured bacterium. Its description in RNAcentral is "partial 16S ribosomal RNA". It matches the Rfam family "Bacterial small subunit ribosomal RNA", at positions 524 to 776 of the family's 1533-position model. The record is from RNAcentral.